Molecule: ribosomal RNA, 497 nt
Filed under: uncultured bacterium
Lineage: Bacteria
Description: partial 16S ribosomal RNA
Rfam family: Bacterial small subunit ribosomal RNA
Source: RNAcentral
GAUGAACGCUGGCGGCGUGCCUAAUACAUGCAAGUCGAGCGAACAGACGAGGAGCUUGCUCCUCUGACGUUAGCGGCGGACGGGUGAGUAACACGUGGAUAACCUACCUAUAAGACUGGGAUAACUUCGGGAAACCGGAGCUAAUACCGGAUAAUAUAUUGAACCGCAUGGUUCAAUAGUGAAAGACGGUUUUGCUGUCACUUAUAGAUGGAUCCGCGCCGCAUUAGCUAGUUGGUAAGGUAACGGCUUACCAAGGCAACGAUGCGUAGCCGACCUGAGAGGGUGAUCGGCCAGACUGGAAGGGAGACACGGGCCAGACGCCUACGGGAGGCAGCAGUAGGGAAUCUUCCGCAAUGGGCGAAAGCUUGACGGAGCAACGCCGCGUGAGUGAUGAAGGUCUUCGGAUCGUAAAACUCUGUUAUUAGGGAAGAACAAAUGUGUAAGUAACUAUGCACGUCUUGACGGUACCUAAUCAGAAAGCCACGGCUAACUACGUG